UUGACCCCUUAUCGGGGUUGCGGACAGUGCCUGGUGGGUAGUUUGACUGGGGCGGUCUCCUCCCAAAGAGUAACGGAGGAGCACGAAGGUGGGCUAAUCACGGUUGGACAUCGUGAGGUUAGUGCAAUGGCAUAAGCCCGCUUGACUGCGAGAAUGACAAUUCGAGCAGGUGCGAAAGCAGGUCAUAGUGAUCCGGUGGUUCUGAAUGGAAGGGCCAUCGCUCAACGGAUAAAAGGUACUCCGGGGAUAACAGGCUGAUACCGCCCAAGAGUUCAUAUCGACGGCGGUGUUUGGCACCUCGAUGUCG
This 307-nucleotide ribosomal RNA is filed under the name Vibrio parahaemolyticus. Its description in RNAcentral is "partial 23S ribosomal RNA". It matches the Rfam family "Bacterial large subunit ribosomal RNA", at positions 2228 to 2534 of the family's 2925-position model. Lineage: Bacteria; Pseudomonadati; Pseudomonadota; Gammaproteobacteria; Vibrionales; Vibrionaceae. The record is from RNAcentral.